GGUUUGUAGUGAACUGGCUUUAGAUGCCUCUGAUAAAGCUCUCUGAACUGGUCUGGAACCAGUGAUUCACCUUUUCACACAGGCGUUGUCCAGUGCUAUUUGAUCUUGUAGAAGUAAACAGAAGGAUCCAAAGAACUUUGACUAUUUUGUUCAUUAUUACACAUUUACUUUAGGCAAAGACCAUAUUCCUUUUAGAACAAUAUUUACAUCCUAUAUUUCUGUACAGAAAUGAGUCUACCAGGGCAUAAUUAGAAUCUGUGUAGUAUGGUUCCAGGUCUGGGGGUGAGUCAGUCCUGACCCCCCACUUUUUCACCGAGGACAUAGACAGGAACAACAGGAGUUAUACCUGACUGGUGUUCAAAUGCAGUAUCCUUUGUUCUGGGGAAAGCAAAAUGUACUGAAGUUUACAUUUACAAGAUUAAAGAAACCUGAAAGACUUAGAAGGCAGUCGAGCCUAUGACUGUGUCCCCAUUUGACCAGACUGUACUCACACGAAGUGGCUAUCCCAGGCUUAAGACUUGAUGAGUUGAGCUCCGUUUUCAUGUACUCAUCCUGAAUUCCUAUUUUUCUAAAAUUGCGUCCUUCACCAGUUCUGCCUUUUGGCAAUCAUUUCUUUUAAGUCAGAAUUCAAUCAUAGCUACAGAUAAUCUACAAUGAGUAGAAAAGAAGAGAAAGUGUCAUUGUUAAUAGAAAACCAUGUAAAGUCAUCAUCAGGUCAUCUGGAUGAAUCUUGAAAUACAUAUAGCUGCCAAAUUUACAAACCUUUACUGUAUCAGUGCUGUAGUAUAUAACCUCAAACAGGUGUAAAUAGAAUUAAUUAUUUUCUUGUUUUGAAUUGUUAACAUAUUAAAUGUUGACUCUUUGGGAGAGUUGUUGGCAAAUUUUCAGUGACAAGAAAACAUGUUAUUGUCAACUUGAAAUGUAUUCCGUUAAUGGGGACAUUCAAGAAAAAAAGAUAGCUUUCCAAUGUGUGCAUAGUAUUGGC
RNAcentral lists this long non-coding RNA (985 nucleotides) under Bos taurus (domestic cattle). RNAcentral describes it as "long non-coding RNA NONBTAT023608". The record is from RNAcentral. Lineage: Eukaryota; Metazoa; Chordata; Mammalia; Artiodactyla; Bovidae.